AAUAUUUUCAACACAUUUUUGUCAUGGUGUUUGCCUCUGCUUUGUGUCCAGUCCUCUUAGUCUUUUAAUCAAGAAUCAAUUUGACCCUCUAUUGUAUUAAAAAAUAAAAAGUGUUUUUUUUUUUUUUAAGAACUUUUGGGGAAUUCUUUGUUUAGACUAAUUUGGAGUCUCAGGUGUGUUAUAAGUCAAAGUAGGACUGGAUCUUAGUGAAUGAGUGUUUAACUUCUGUUGGUUGCAGUACCUAUCAUCAACAAUAGAUGUCAGUGUUGCACUUUUUUUCUCAAUAUAAAAUCUUUCACAAAAUCAUAGUGGUAGGUUUACAGGCUGUCAUCUUUACUUGGUUUAUAAAGACAAAGACAUACUAAUAUUUAGACAUACUUUCACAAAAUAUUAAAUGUUUAACAAGUUGGCAAUUGUGCAGCUUCAAGAUUUGGGGGUAUUAUGUUGAGUAACCCUUAACCUGAUUGAAAAAUCCUUUUUCUUUUCAGUUUUAGAAAUUAUUAAUCUGCAUAAUAAAAUCUGGGAUCUUGAGAAAAAGAACACCAAUUGGACAAAUGAGGAGCUUCAAGCUUUGAAAAAAAGGCUGGAUUCUUUAGUGAAUGAAAUAGACAGUAAUGGUGAAGAUAACACAUUACAGGUACUAAAAAUCUUGACACUGCAGAGUCAGGUGGAGUAUCUACAGAACCAACUGUCCAAUCUCGAGAUAACACACGAUUCCACACAAACUCAACUUCAAAAUGAGCUAGCAGCCAAGGAGAACGAGCUGAAGCGUUACAUCCAUGAAGUGAUGGAGAAAAACCAGACAAAUGGAAAACUUAUUUUGAGCAUCACUGAACUCCAAAUGAAACUCAAAAAAAUUGAAAAACAAAAGGAAACAGAGGAUAAUACAAGUGCUGCAACAAUAUCCAAGCUGACGAACCAGCUGAAGUUCCAAGAAGAGGAAAACAAUCGUAAUAAAGCUUUCAUUAUGACUCUGCAGAACAAGAUAACCCAGACAGAAACCCAAUGUUCUAAAUAUGAACAGAAAAUUAAAGGUAAAAGUUGA
RNAcentral lists this long non-coding RNA (1045 nucleotides) under Oryzias sinensis (Chinese medaka). RNAcentral describes it as "lncRNA (ENSOSIG00000013459.1)". The record is from RNAcentral. Lineage: Eukaryota; Metazoa; Chordata; Actinopteri; Beloniformes; Adrianichthyidae.